GACGAACGCUGGCGGCGUGCUUAACACAUGCAAGUCGAACGAAGAGCGAUGGAAGCUUGCUUCUAUCAAUCUUAGUGGCGAACGGGUGAGUAACGCGUAAUCAACCUGCCCUUCAGAGGGGGACAACAGUUGGAAACGACUGCUAAUACCGCAUACGAUCUAAUCUCGGCAUCGAGGAUAGAUGAAAGGUGGCCUCUACAUGUAAGCUAUCACUGAAGGAGGGGAUUGCGUCUGAUUAGCUAGUUGGAGGGGUAACGGCCCACCAAGGCGAUGAUCAGUAGCCGGUCUGAGAGGAGGAACGGCCACAUUGGGACUGAGACACGGCCCAGACUCCUACGGGAGGCAGCAGUGGGGAAUCUUCCGCAAUGGACGAAAGUCUGACGGAGCAACGCCGCGUGAGUGAUGACGGCCUUCGGGUUGUAAAGCUCUGUUAAUCGGGACGAAAGGCCUUCUUGCGAAUAGUGAGAAGGAUUGACGGUACCGGAAUAGAAAGCCACGGCUAACUACGUG
Molecule: ribosomal RNA, 510 nt
Filed under: uncultured bacterium
Lineage: Bacteria
Description: partial 16S ribosomal RNA
Rfam family: Bacterial small subunit ribosomal RNA
Source: RNAcentral